CCUACCAAGACAAUGAUGCAUAGCCGAGUUGAGAGACUGAUCGGCCACAUUGGGACUGAGACACGGCCCAAACUCCUACGGGAGGCUGCAGUAGGGAAUCUUCCACAAUGGGCGAAAGUCUGAUGGAGCAACGCCGCGUGAGUGAAGAAGGUCUUCGGAUCGUAAAACUCUGUUGUUAGAGAAGAACGUGCAUGAUAGUAACUGAUCAUGUAAUGACGGUAUCUAACCAGAAAGCCACGGCUAACUACGUGCCAGCAGCCGCGGUAAUACGUAGGUGGCAAGCGUUAUCCGGAUUUAUUGGGCGUAAAGCGAGCGCAGGCGGUUUUUUAAGUCUGAUGUGAAAGCCCUCGGCUUAACCGAGGAAGCGCAUCGGAAACUGGGAAACUUGAGUGCAGAAGAGGACAGUGGAACUCCAUGUGUAGCGGUGAAAUGCGUAGAUAUAUGGAAGAACACCAGUGGCGAAGGCGGCUGUCUGGUCUGUAACUGACGCUGAGGCUCGAAAGCAUGGGUAGCGAACAGGAUUAGAUACCCUGGUAGUCCAUGCCGUAAACGAUGAAUGCUAGGUGUUGGAGGGUUUCCGCCCUUCAGUGCCGCAGCUAACGCAUUAAGCAUUCCGCCUGGGGAGUACGACCGCAAGGUUGAAACUCAAAGGAAUUGACGGGGGCCCGCACAAGCGGUGGAGCA
RNAcentral lists this ribosomal RNA (684 nucleotides) under uncultured bacterium. RNAcentral describes it as "bacterial SSU rRNA". It matches the Rfam family "Bacterial small subunit ribosomal RNA", at positions 264 to 939 of the family's 1533-position model. The record is from RNAcentral.